GUUUUCUGUUCUGGCCUGUUGGUCAUGGGUUCUGAUCGGUAGAUCAAUUUUUGCAUGUUGGUUCAAUGACCUGUUCCUGGUCUUGUCUGCAAAACUUCCUCUGAAGUUGUGUUGCUUUUUUCAGAUGUAUAAGUUUUUAAAAGAGCAAUUUCUGUUUUUGUUGCAGUAGUUCAACUUUGGUCUUUGAAAGACUCAGGGCAAGUUGAAGCCCUUGUUGGCCCAUAUAAAUUGUAUGACACAUCUUUUAGAACACUCUGUGGACAUGGCUGGCUGUCAGAUGAAGUUAUAGAUGCAUAUUUGUAUGUGACACUUCAGAAGACCAAGAUACCUGUAUACAGAAUGGAUGCAGUAAUUGCAUCUUCUGUAUUUCAUCUUGGGCAAUAUCGGGCUGUUCAAAAGAUGGUUUUACCUGAAGCCUCCAUUUGGAUGUGCCCUGUAAAUGUGGGAGGUCACUGGCUUUUGGUGAUUGUCGUGAUGAAUCACCAAGAGCUAGUAGUUAUAGACCCUAUGGGGAACGAAACAAUGUAUGACAGAAAGCUUCUCC
Molecule: long non-coding RNA, 544 nt
Organism: Cyprinodon tularosa
Lineage: Eukaryota; Metazoa; Chordata; Actinopteri; Cyprinodontiformes; Cyprinodontidae
Exons: 5
Source: RefSeq, a predicted model, not a curated record